GACGAACGCUGGCGGCGUGCCUAAUACAUGCAAGUUGAGCGCUGAAGGUUGGUACUUGUACCAACUGGAUGAGCAGCGAACGGGUGAGUAACGCGUGGGGAAUCUGCCUUUGAGCGGGGGACAACAUUUGGAAACGAAUGCUAAUACCGCAUAAAAACUUUAAACACAAGUUUUAAGUUUGAAAGAUGCAAUUGCAUCACUCAAAGAUGAUCCCGCGUUGUAUUAGCUAGUUGGUGAGGUAAAGGCUCACCAAGGCGAUGAUACAUAGCCGACCUGAGAGGGUGAGCGGCCACAUUGGGACUGAGACACGGCCCAAACUCCUACGGGGGGCAGCAGUAGGGAAUCUUCGGAAAUGGACGAAAGUCUGACCGAGCAACGCCGCGUGAGUGAAGAAGGUUUUCGGAUCGUAAAACUCUGUUGGUAGAGAAGAACGUUGGUGAGAGUGGAAAGCUCAUCAAGUGACGGUAACUACCCAGAAAGGGACGGCUAACUACGUG
RNAcentral lists this ribosomal RNA (497 nucleotides) under uncultured bacterium. Its description in RNAcentral is "partial 16S ribosomal RNA". It matches the Rfam family "Bacterial small subunit ribosomal RNA", at positions 28 to 507 of the family's 1533-position model. The record is from RNAcentral.